CCCAACUAUCCCUAUUAAUCAUUACGGUGAUCCUAGAAACCAACGAAAUAGAAUCAGUCCGUCCUAUUUCAUUAUUCCAUGCUAAUGUAUUCAGACGAUAGUCUGCUUUAAACACUCUAAUUUUUUCAAAGUAACAGUCCUGAUUUCCCAUCACACCAAAUGAAUGGCAUGAAAGUUCCUCAGAAGGUAGAGAUCCAUCUCACCAGUGCAGACAAUUAAGCCUGACCAAUGGGUAGACCCCGAGGUUCAACUACGAGCUUUUAAUUAAGUGCUCGUGGGAUUCCGAUAGUUUACUUUGAGAAAAAUAGAGUGUUCAAAGCAGGCGUUUUUGCCGUUGAAUACAUUAGCAUGGGAUAAUAGAAUAGGACAUUGGUUCUAUUUUGAUGGUUUACGGACCGAUGUAAUGAUUAAUAGGGAUAGUUGGGGUUAAGCCCGAU
Molecule: unclassified non-coding RNA, 437 nt
Filed under: uncultured Diversisporaceae
Lineage: Eukaryota; Fungi; Glomeromycota; Glomeromycetes; Diversisporales
Description: sequence contains 18S rRNA gene
Rfam family: Eukaryotic small subunit ribosomal RNA (bases 99-437)
Source: RNAcentral